Molecule: ribosomal RNA, 1552 nt
Filed under: Staphylococcus aureus
Lineage: Bacteria; Bacillati; Bacillota; Bacilli; Caryophanales; Staphylococcaceae
Also listed under: 1 other name
Description: 16S ribosomal RNA
Rfam family: Bacterial small subunit ribosomal RNA
Source: RNAcentral
UUUAUGGAGAGUUUGAUCCUGGCUCAGGAUGAACGCUGGCGGCGUGCCUAAUACAUGCAAGUCGAGCGAACGGACGAGAAGCUUGCUUCUCUGAUGUUAGCGGCGGACGGGUGAGUAACACGUGGAUAACCUACCUAUAAGACUGGGAUAACUUCGGGAAACCGGAGCUAAUACCGGAUAAUAUUUUGAACCGCAUGGUUCAAAAGUGAAAGACGGUCUUGCUGUCACUUAUAGAUGGAUCCGCGCUGCAUUAGCUAGUUGGUAAGGUAACGGCUUACCAAGGCAACGAUGCAUAGCCGACCUGAGAGGGUGAUCGGCCACACUGGAACUGAGACACGGUCCAGACUCCUACGGGAGGCAGCAGUAGGGAAUCUUCCGCAAUGGGCGAAAGCCUGACGGAGCAACGCCGCGUGAGUGAUGAAGGUCUUCGGAUCGUAAAACUCUGUUAUUAGGGAAGAACAUAUGUGUAAGUAACUGUGCACAUCUUGACGGUACCUAAUCAGAAAGCCACGGCUAACUACGUGCCAGCAGCCGCGGUAAUACGUAGGUGGCAAGCGUUAUCCGGAAUUAUUGGGCGUAAAGCGCGCGUAGGCGGUUUUUUAAGUCUGAUGUGAAAGCCCACGGCUCAACCGUGGAGGGUCAUUGGAAACUGGAAAACUUGAGUGCAGAAGAGGAAAGUGGAAUUCCAUGUGUAGCGGUGAAAUGCGCAGAGAUAUGGAGGAACACCAGUGGCGAAGGCGACUUUCUGGUCUGUAACUGACGCUGAUGUGCGAAAGCGUGGGGAUCAAACAGGAUUAGAUACCCUGGUAGUCCACGCCGUAAACGAUGAGUGCUAAGUGUUAGGGGGUUUCCGCCCCUUAGUGCUGCAGCUAACGCAUUAAGCACUCCGCCUGGGGAGUACGACCGCAAGGUUGAAACUCAAAGGAAUUGACGGGGACCCGCACAAGCGGUGGAGCAUGUGGUUUAAUUCGAAGCAACGCGAAGAACCUUACCAAAUCUUGACAUCCUUUGACAACUCUAGAGAUAGAGCCUUCCCCUUCGGGGGACAAAGUGACAGGUGGUGCAUGGUUGUCGUCAGCUCGUGUCGUGAGAUGUUGGGUUAAGUCCCGCAACGAGCGCAACCCUUAAGCUUAGUUGCCAUCAUUAAGUUGGGCACUCUAAGUUGACUGCCGGUGACAAACCGGAGGAAGGUGGGGAUGACGUCAAAUCAUCAUGCCCCUUAUGAUUUGGGCUACACACGUGCUACAAUGGACAAUACAAAGGGCAGCGAAACCGCGAGGUCAAGCAAAUCCCAUAAAGUUGUUCUCAGUUCGGAUUGUAGUCUGCAACUCGACUACAUGAAGCUGGAAUCGCUAGUAAUCGUAGAUCAGCAUGCUACGGUGAAUACGUUCCCGGGUCUUGUACACACCGCCCGUCACACCACGAGAGUUUGUAACACCCGAAGCCGGUGGAGUAACCUUUUAGGAACUAGCCGUCGAAGGUGGGACAAAUGAUUGGGGUGAAGUCGUAACAAGGUAGCCGUAUCGGAAGGUGCGGCUGGAUCACCUCCUUU